AGCAAACCUAAAUGUAAAGUUCCUACACACACCCUGGUCACAUCCACUCACAGCUCCUCCCACAAUUAGUGAGCCUCAGAAGUGUGGUUCAUUAGAUACAGUCAAACCAAUAUGGACACUCACAGAUCAUAGACUACUCACAGAUCAUAGUCAACAUAGGGUUGACUCUUUGUCCUGCACAUUCUGUGGGUUUUGACUAAUGUACACUAACACGUAACCACUAGUGUACUGUCAUGCAGAUUACAUUCGCUGUCUUAAAAGUCCUCUUUGCUCUGCCUAAUCAUCCCUUCCUAUCCUACAAGCUCUUGGAAACAAAUGGUCAUUUCAGUCUUACCCUAAUGUUGCAUUUUCAAGAAUGUUACAUAUUGGGAAUUGUACAAUAUGCAGCCUUUUUUGUUUGGACUCUUUCAAUUAUUAAUAUGCAAAGAAUCCUUCAUGGGUUUUUUCAUGCUUUCAGAAUUCAUUUCACUUUAACACCAAAUAAGAUUGUAUUGUAGAUUUACCACCAUUUGUUUGUACAUCAAUCUAUUGAAGGACUUCUUGCUGACUUCUGGUUUUUGUCAGUGAUGAAUCAAAAUGCUAUAUAUACACAUUUGCAGAUUGUUGUGAGAACCCAAGUCUUCAAUUCAUUUGGAUAAUUACAGAGAGCACAAGUGCUGGAUCA
RNAcentral lists this long non-coding RNA (664 nucleotides) under Marmota monax (woodchuck). Lineage: Eukaryota; Metazoa; Chordata; Mammalia; Rodentia; Sciuridae. The record is from RNAcentral.